Molecule: RNA transcript, 1844 nt
Organism: Acanthopagrus latus (yellowfin seabream)
Lineage: Eukaryota; Metazoa; Chordata; Actinopteri; Spariformes; Sparidae
Gene: hoxa2b
Gene name: homeobox A2b
Exons: 3
Source: RefSeq, a predicted model, not a curated record
GGGGGGGGGGGCAGCGGUGGACAAACUGACCCAAAAAAAAAUGUGUAAAUAAAGCAACCCCUACCCCCGGAAUGAGGCGUUACCCCUCCGACUUUCUCGAUCAAUCACAGGGGACAGUGGCUUCUUUUGAUAAAAACCCCAAAUUGUCAUUGGGCAGAUGUAAUCAUGUGACAAGCAGCACGGUCUAAUUCCAACCAUGUCCUCAUGAAAGCAAUAGUUUAUGGCACAGAGGUCUCCACGCGACUAUAUCCAGUUUGCUUUAUGAAAAUAAACUGCUUAUUAAAUCCGAAUCCACUCUGAGAGUAAAUCAGCCAGUUUCCUUUUUCUUUUCUUUUUUUUUUCUUUCUUUCUUUUUCUUUUCUUUUUUUUUUUUUUGUCGGGGACAAGAGGAGGAGGAGAUGAAUUACGAAUUUGGGCGAGAAAGUGGUUUCAUCAACAGCCAGCCGUCGCUCGCUGAGUGCCUGACAUCUCUCGCUAACCCUGUCGGUGAUGCAUUUCAAAGUUCAUCAAUCAAGAGCCCGGCGCUUUCACAGUCGACACUGAUUCCUCCUCCUUUUGAGCACGCCAUCCCCGGCCUGAACGCGGGCGUCCACCCACGCCACAGCCGCUCAAAGCAGGCUCUGGGAGGCUGCAGCAGCCCGCUGCAGGCUGCGACCCUGCCCCCGGAGUACCCGUGGAUGAAGGAGAAGAAGAGCAUCAAGAGGAACAACCAGCCUGCUUCUUCUUCUUCUUCCUCCUCCUCCUCUUCUUCUGCUGCUGCUGCUUCUACUGCUACUACGGCGGACUCCUCGCCACUCUACUUCUCCCCCCAAGGUUCACCAGAGGUCCCAGACGCUGCCGGUGCCGGCGGUGGAUCCCGGAGGCUGAGGACCGCGUACACCAACACCCAGCUCCUGGAGCUGGAGAAGGAGUUCCAUUUCAACAAGUACCUGUGCAGACCGAGGCGGGUGGAGAUCGCCGCGCUGCUGGAUUUAACGGAGAAGCAGGUGAAAGUGUGGUUCCAGAACCGGAGGAUGAAGCACAAGAGGCAGACGCACUGCAAGGAGAACCGGGACAGCGAGGGGAAGUACGCCUGCGCGGGCGACGGGCCGGAGGACGAGUACGAGCCGGAGGCGGGCGGCGGCGGCGGUGGCGCGGCCGGGACGCUCCUGGAGAGGGAGAGGUAUUUCCAGCAGAAUACCUUGUGUCACAACGGGCACAAUGGGGACAGCCAGAGCCCGCCUGUCACGCCUUUGAGCAGCAAUGAGAAAAAUCUGAAACAUUUUCCAAACGCGGCUCCCACUGUUCCCAUCUGCGUGUCCACAAUAGGCCCGGACAAUGAUCACUCCCCCGGCCUGGACGCGUCUUUGCAGGAUUUCCACGUCUUCUCGUCCUCCUCCUCGUUCUCACCGAGCUUGUCAGACUGCGCGGAGAGCCCUCUGCCUUUAUCGGCCGAAACUUUUGACCUUUUCUCAGAAACGCUCACGACCAUCGAUCUGCAGAACUUGAGCUAUUGAGACAGUAAUGUGUGGUUCUGGUGUUGAGUUAGUUGUAGCCUCUCACAGAAAAGGUUGAGUUGAAACCUGCUCUUUAAACGUGCCCGUGGUGCUGCUGUGAUUUAUCUGAGCAGGAAAAAAACACCCCGAAACAAAAUGGAAGAUUGAUCGCCUCCGCAUGCUUUACAUCCCGAAAAAAGCAGAAUUUGCAGUGAGAACUGCCUGCGAGGAGUCCCAGGCCAAAAGCUAUGACUUUUCUUGGCUCUCUAAUUAAAUUUUAUUGCCUAUAAAACUCACAGCACUGAGGGUGCUUGUUUAUAGCCUGAUCCGCAAUGUAAUGCAAUCUUUUUGUAUUAAGAAUCCCGCCUG